RNAcentral lists this ribosomal RNA (684 nucleotides) under Lactococcus sp. HXF0035. Its description in RNAcentral is "bacterial SSU rRNA". It matches the Rfam family "Bacterial small subunit ribosomal RNA", at positions 73 to 742 of the family's 1533-position model. Lineage: Bacteria; Bacillati; Bacillota; Bacilli; Lactobacillales; Streptococcaceae. The record is from RNAcentral.
UUGGUACUUGUACCAACUGGAUGAGCAGCGAACGGGUGAGUAACGCGUGGGGAAUCUGCCUUUGAGCGGGGGACAACAUUUGGAAACGAAUGCUAAUACCGCAUAAAAACUUUAAACACAAGUUUUAAGUUUGAAAGAUGCAAUUGCAUCACUCAAAGAUGAUCCCUGCGUUGUAUUAGCUAGUUGGUGAGGUAAAGGCUCACCAAGGCGAUGAUACAUAGCCGACCUGAGAGGGUGAUCGGCCACAUUGGGACUGAGACACGGCCCAAACUCCUACGGGAGGCAGCAGUAGGGAAUCUUCGGCAAUGGACGAAAGUCUGACCGAGCAACGCCGCGUGAGUGAAGAAGGUUUUCGGAUCGUAAAACUCUGUUGGUAGAGAAGAACGUUGGUGAGAGUGGAAAGCUCAUCAAGUGACGGUAACUACCCAGAAAGGGACGGCUAACUACGUGCCAGCAGCCGCGGUAAUACGUAGGUCCCGAGCGUUGUCCGGAUUUAUUGGGCGUAAAGCGAGCGCAUGUGGUUUAUUAAGUCUGGUGUAAAAGGCAGUGGCUCAACCAUUGUAUGCAUUGGAAACUGGUAGACUUGAGUGCANGAGAGGAGAGUGGAAUUCCAUGUGUAGCGGUGAAAUGCGUAGAUAUAUGGAGGAACACCGGUGGCGAAAGCGGCUCUCUGGCCUGUAACUG